AGGACGAACGCUGGCGGCGUGCCUAACACAUGCAAGUCGAACGAGGUCCAACCGGUGGCAACACUGGUGAAGACCGAGUGGCGAACGGGUGAGUAACACGUGAGCAACCCGCCUCGAAGACUGGGAUAACCCCGGGAAACCGGAGCUAAUACCGGAUACCCCCACCGGGUCGCAUGGCCUGGUGAGGAAAUGGAUUCCGCUUUGAGAGGGGCUCGCGGCCUAUCAGCUUGAUGGUGGGGUAAUGGCCUACCAUGGCACCGACGGGUAGCUGGUCUGAGAGGACGAUCAGCCACACUGGGACUGAGACACGGCCCAGACUCCUACGGGAGGCAGCAGUGGGGAAUCUUGCGCAAUGGGCGAAAGCCUGACGCAGCAACGCCGCGUGUGGGACGAAGGCCUUCUGGGUUGUAAACCACUUUCAGCAGGGACGAUUGUGACGGUACCUGCAGAAGAGCCCGGCAACGUACGUGCCAGCAGCCGCGGU
Molecule: ribosomal RNA, 484 nt
Filed under: uncultured bacterium
Lineage: Bacteria
Description: SSU rRNA
Rfam family: Bacterial small subunit ribosomal RNA
Source: RNAcentral